CCGGCGUGUUCAUUUUUAGUUUGUAUAAACGACUGUUAACGUCAUAAUCCAACUACAUUUCUAACGUCUUUACUUUCGCGGACCAUUGCACUUUAGCGUAUGGAAGCAUCGCACUUUAGCGUAUACCAUCGCACUUUAGCGUGUCCAUCGCACUUUAGCGUCCCCAUCGCACUUUAGCGUCCCCAUCGCACUUUAGAGUCCUACAUAUAUAU
RNAcentral lists this long non-coding RNA (212 nucleotides) under Mytilus galloprovincialis (Mediterranean mussel). The record is from RNAcentral. Lineage: Eukaryota; Metazoa; Mollusca; Bivalvia; Mytilida; Mytilidae.